CCUACGGGUGGCAGCAGUGGGGAAUAUUGGACAAUGGGGGCAACCCUGAUCCAGCCAUGCCGCGUGUGUGAAGAAGGCCCUCGGGUUGUAAAGCACUUUCAGUGAGGAAGAACGCCUGGUGGUUAAUACCCAUCAGGAAAGACAUCACUCACAGAAGAAGCACCGGCUAACUCCGUGCCAGCAGCCGCGGUAAUACGGAGGGUGCGAGCGUUAAUCGGAAUUACUGGGCGUAAAGCGCGCGUAGGUGGCUUGAUAAGCCGGUUGUGAAAGCCCCGGGCUCAACCUGGGAACGGCAUCCGGAACUGUCAAGCUAGAGUGCAGGAGAGGAAGGUAGAAUUCCCGGUGUAGCGGUGAAAUGCGUAGAGAUCGGGAGGAAUACCAGUGGCGAAGGCGGCCUUCUGGACUGACACUGACGCUGAGGUGCGAAAGCGUGGGUAGCAAACAGGAUUAGAUACCCCAGUAGUC
Molecule: ribosomal RNA, 465 nt
Filed under: Vreelandella stevensii
Lineage: Bacteria; Pseudomonadati; Pseudomonadota; Gammaproteobacteria; Oceanospirillales; Halomonadaceae
Description: partial 16S ribosomal RNA
Rfam family: Bacterial small subunit ribosomal RNA
Source: RNAcentral